UUGGGGCGUCCGUUUGGCUGUGCGGGAUGUAUCAAGUUCGCAGUCACGUCCGGUCAGAAGGGGGACGUUAAAUCCGAUGCCUCGUGUAAGGAGAGUGCCACGCUCUUUGCACGUUAAGAACCCUUGCAACAACUCUUUGAGGGGUCCGUAGGUGACCUGUUGCAAGGCCAAAUUUCUGUCCAUUUCCAAUAUACCCUCAUUAUCCAGUGGCAAUCCAAAUUUCCCCGACCAUUAUUCCAGAUGGCCUCUAUUGUAUCAACCUACC
RNAcentral lists this long non-coding RNA (265 nucleotides) under Mytilus galloprovincialis (Mediterranean mussel). The record is from RNAcentral. Lineage: Eukaryota; Metazoa; Mollusca; Bivalvia; Mytilida; Mytilidae.